CCCCUCUCCCAUUGGUACGUCGCUCCGCUCCAUCCGCGCUGGCCGCUAAUCUCGCCGAUCGCGAAUCUCGCCUUCCCCAUGCCGCGUCCCUCGCCCCGCCCACUUGCCCCUCCGAUCCGAUCGAAUACGUCGCCCACGCCUACUCCUCCUCCACCAUGGGCGAGCCGCUCCUCUCCCCGCGCCGCCUGGCCCGCCUCGCCUCGAGGUCGCCGUCCCCGCCGCGCCGCGCCACGACUGACGCCCGGGCUGCCUCGCCUCGGUGCUGCCGUCCCCACCGCGCUCGGAGCGCCGCCACGAUCGACUUGUGAAACUCUCUCCGUCGAUCCGCUUCGGUGAGUCCCACCACCCUCCGCUUGCCUGCACUUUGCUGUGUCCUCCGUCUUGCCUCCGCGAAUCCCCGUCUUCCUUGCCGUGCGGCAACUGCUCCCGUGGCUCCCGUGGUGAUGGUUAAUAGCAGCGGAGAGCUACUUUUGGCAACCUUCAUGAAUAGGGAGGCACAGGGAGCAGCCCCCACGAGCAACGGUGUGGCGGCAGUCGGAUCUACAGGAAUUGACACCUCCUCAUGUCACUCCGGCACAAGAUCCAAAUGCAGGUCGCUACCUUCUGCCUCCAUUCUGCAUUCUAUACAGCGAUCCCUCUCCAAUAUGCAUGGCCUUUCCUCCUUGCCUGCAUCUGCCUGGUCAGCAUUUAGUCAACUCUCUGUUGUUGUGCUUUUGCAUAUUUUGUGCUGGAUUUCAGUAUCCCUGGUAUGGGACUGCAAGCCCUGUAUUUCUUAGGUACUUGUAGAGAUUUCUCCUAAUUAAUUCAGUCUCAAAACUCAAUAAUAUAUGCAAACUUCUCUAAUAAAUUUUAUCACCAAUACUGUUCUUUUCAUUAUGCCACUUGUGGCAUUGAAACUUGAGUAUUUGCAUAUUGAUCAUAUUCGGUUGUUUCAACCACUGUUUUUCUUGUAUCGGCUAUUGCCAAAGGUUGUUCUUUCCCUCUUACAUUGAAAUCAGUAGAACCUCGUACCUGUGUGUAUUUUUCUUAGAAUUUAAUUGAUGUGGGUAGUACUGAUAGAUAUUAACUAUUUGCUGGAAAGAUUCUUGGCUUCAGCAAUUUUAUCUCACAUUCUAUUGAAGCACAAUCUUAACGGAAAGCUGCUGUGCAAAAGUAUCUGAUGUUGUCAAACAUAUAUGACCUCGCUGCACGGCAAGGUAAUUCUCUUGUGCUGGAGAACAGAUAGCCUUGAACUAUUUGGUAAUCAUUCCCAGUUUAGCAUGGCAGGUGGAAGUCUUUCGAUCUGAUAGUCUGUUUAAGCGAUAUAAACAUUAUUUUUUACAAUUUAUAAACUUAUUUUCUGUGACCAGUAUUGAUCAUUAGAGAGCCACAGCUCGUAGUUUCUUCACAUAUUAGUUCUGGUCAUACUACUGUGGCAACAAUCAUUCCCAUUGAAACUAAAGUUUUACGUUCAGGUCAGUUUAUGUGUGAAAAUUACUUUUAGCAUUUGAACUAUAUGAAUCGUUGUAUGCUAGGUUAACUAAUCAUUUUGAGAAUUUGAGUACCUGAUUCUAUAAGCUUGCAAUCAUGGUUUAAAGCACCUCGUGAACUCUACCUUUAAAUUGAUAUGUAUGGUUUUCUUUCUUUUCAGUAUUUUGUGAUCUUCUUUAUGCUGCAAGCUAAUCAUGAUCACAAAAUUUAUUGGUGUCGUCCGAGCUGAGAACAAGGAUCGAGAGUUCUAUAGUUUUAAUCAAAUCCUGGCAGAACUUAUAUGAUAUGCUUGGAUAGCGGACUGUGAUGAUUUUUUUUUUGUGGGAGUUUUGUUUGGCAGAGUUGUAGAGGUGCCUUUUGUCCUCUUUGACAGUUCAUCCCAUUUGUUUAUUAUAAAACUUCAAUCUUAUUUUUUUUUGGUUCAAGGGAGGAAGAGGCCAGGCAGUGCGGCAGGCAGGGAGAGCAAAAGGCAUGUAAUUACUCAGAUCUGGUGCUAUUGUUAGCGGAACUUGGAUUGAGUGCUUUGUUAGACGUGUGGGCAGGGCACGAUUUUCCUAUUGUUUGUUUAUCUUGCUGUGGGUGGUUCCUUACUAUCCUACUUAUAUUCAGCACCACAUCUCAAGGUAUUUGAGUGUUUCUUUUUUAUACUGAUUCUGCUUUUUGAAAAGUGGUUUCUUAGGACUCAAUAUUCCUUUUGAUUGAAACAAAACGUCAUCAUAAAUGACUUUAAGAGCAUUGAGGGGGAUAGAGCUCUGGGGCUUCAGUCACUUCCUGUUGCUUUUGGGAUGGAAUCUGCAAAAUGGAUAUGCGUUGGAGCAAUUGACAUCACUCAAUUAUCUGUUGCAGGUUAGGCACAUUCGAAUUGCCAUGUGGUUCAUGGCUCCAUGCUGCUGUUAAGCAUACCAUAAUAAUCUAUGCACUUGUCAUGAUAAUGCAUCAGAUUUUAAGUAUCCUGUAGAAUAAAGUUUUAACAUUAUAGCUUCUCUCUGAGUAUUUGAAUGAAGUGAGUGUUUCCACUUGUUGCCACAUUCUACCGGUACAAAUAGGAGGCACCACAAGAGAUAUGCUUGAUUUAUCAUCUAUGCUGAAUUUCUGUAGCUGGCCGUUCCAAAUGUUUUCUGAUCAUUGGACGACAACAUUGAAAGCUCCGGAUUAUUUGAAAAUCCUAACUGAUCGAUCUAUUUAGUAUUUUGUCAAAGCUCCGGAUUAUCAACUGGACCAUGUCUAUGUUAGAUUGGAAAUAUUUGUACUCUACAUGUGAAUAAUGUUGGAAGUAUAUAAUUUCUAUAUCCCAUAGCAAUGUAUGGACAUAGAUCUAUUAUGUCGAAGUUAGCUCGUGGAUAUCAAUGAGUCUUAAAAUAUCA
Panicum virgatum (switchgrass) is the source of this 2834-nucleotide RNA transcript. RefSeq lists it as uncharacterized. The record is from RefSeq and is a predicted model, not a curated record. The transcript has 5 exons. NCBI's taxonomy places the organism in Eukaryota, Viridiplantae, Streptophyta, Magnoliopsida, Poales, Poaceae.